AUUAGACGAAUCAUCUGGAAAGAUGAAUCAAAGAAGGUAAUAAUCCUGUAGUCGAAAAUGUUGUCUCUCUUGAGUGGAUCCUGAGUACGACGGAGCACGUGAAAUUCCGUCGGAAUCUGGGAGGACCAUCUCCUAAGGCUAAAUACUCUCUAGUGACCGAUAGUGAACCAGUACCGUGAGGGAAAGGUGAAAAGCACCCCGGAAGGGGAGUGAAAUAGAACCUGAAACCGUGUGCUUACAAGUAGUCAGAGCCCGUUAAUGGGUGAUGGCGUGCCUUUUGUAGAAUGAACCGGCGAGUUACGAUUUGAUGCAAGGUUAAGCAGUAAAUGUGGAGCCGUAGCGAAAGCGAGUCUGAAUAGGGCGUUUAGUAUUUGGUCGUAGACCCGAAACCAGGUGAUCUACCCUUGGUCAGGUUGAAGUUCAGGUAACACUGAAUGGAGGACCGAACCGACUUACGUUGAAAAGUGAGCGGAUGAACUGAGGGUAGCGGAGAAAUUCCAAUCGAACCUGGAGAUAGCUGGUUCUCUCCGAAAUAGCUUUAGGGCUAGCCUCAAGUGAUGAUUAUUGGAGGUAGAGCACUGUUUGGACGAGGGGCCCCUCUCGGGUUACCGAAUUCAGACAAACUCCGAAUGCCAAUUAAUUUAACUUGGGAGUCAGAACAUGGGUGAUAAGGUCCGUGUUCGAAAGGGAAACAGCCCAGACCACCAGCUAAGGUCCCAAAAUAUAUGUUAAGUGGAAAAGGAUGUGGCGUUGCCCAGACAACUAGGAUGUUGGCUUAGAAGCAGCCAUCAUUUAAAGAGUGCGUAAUAGCUCACUAGUCGAGUGACACUGCGCCGAAAAUGUACCGGGGCUAAACAUAUUACCGAAGCUGUGGAUUGUCCUUUGGACAAUGGUAGGAGAGCGUUCUAAGGGCGUUGAAGCAUGAUCGUAAGGACAUGUGGAGCGCUUAGAAGUGAGAAUGCCGGUGUGAGUAGCGAAAGACGGGUGAGAAUCCCGUCCACCGAUUGACUAAGGUUUCCAGAGGAAGGCUCGUCCGCUCUGGGUU
This 1045-nucleotide ribosomal RNA is filed under the name Staphylococcus aureus. Its description in RNAcentral is "partial 23S ribosomal RNA". It matches the Rfam family "Bacterial large subunit ribosomal RNA", at positions 328 to 1381 of the family's 2925-position model. The record is from RNAcentral. Lineage: Bacteria; Bacillati; Bacillota; Bacilli; Caryophanales; Staphylococcaceae.